AUUGAACGCUGGCGGCAGGCCUAACACAUGCAAGUCGAACGGUAACAGGAAACAGCUUGCUGUUUCGCUGACGAGUGGCGGACGGGUGAGUAAUGUCUGGGAAACUGCCUGAUGGAGGGGGAUAACUACUGGAAACGGUAGCUAAUACCGCAUAACGUCGCAAGACCAAAGAGGGGGACCUUCGGGCCUCUUACCAUCGGAUGUGCCCAGAUGGGAUUAGCUAGUAGGUGGGGUAACGGCUCACCUAGGCGACGAUCCCUAGCUGGUCUGAGAGGAUGACCAGCCACACUGGAACUGGGACACGGUCCAGACUCCUACGGGAGGCAGCAGUGGGGAAUAUUGCACGAUGGGCGCAAGCCUGAUGCAGCCAUGCCGCGUGUAUGAAGAAGGCCUUCGGGUUGUAAAGUACUUUCAGCGGGGAGGAAGGGAGUAAAGUUAAUACCUUUGCUCAUUGACGUUACCCGCAGAAGAAGCACCGGCUAACUCCGUGUCAGCAGCCGCAGUAA
This 506-nucleotide ribosomal RNA is filed under the name uncultured bacterium. RNAcentral's name for it is "partial 16S ribosomal RNA". It matches the Rfam family "Bacterial small subunit ribosomal RNA", at positions 30 to 523 of the family's 1533-position model. The record is from RNAcentral.